GAUCAAUGGAAUUAUUAGGAGGGGUUGGCCUGUUUUAAGAGAUGUAUAGCUGAGACCAUUGGAGUUGUGCUUCAGAUGAAUGAAAUCAGUAUGUGCCUUUUCGGGCUGAGCAACUCGAUUUUGUGGGUUUUUUAACCUUAGAUGAGCUUAGCAUAGAUUUGAUUGUUUGGAUGGUUAAUUAAGUCGAAUGUUAUAGUAAUUCGCAGAGUAAAGCCUACGUUUUCGAUGUAUUAAUUGUUCAAUCUAUUUCGUAAGCAUAAAAAUAGCUCAUCAAAAGCUUUUCUUGUUUUGUUUUAUUUUCAGUGUAAUUCUCUUGCUAUUCAUGUCAAAAGGUUAGUUAUUCUUAUUGAUGUGAAGUCAAAUUUAAGUAAAUUUACUUUAUCAGUUUAGGGUUUUAAUAUGCAUGCUAUUAGUUCAGUGUGUUGGGAAAUUGUAUCCAAGAAUAUUCUGAAAUUACACGACAAUGACAUAAAUGCUUGGGACAAGUUGUUGUUGAGGCAUUAAAUUCUAUGUUUUUAGGGUCUGUCUCAAUAAUUAUGUAGACCAGGGUCGUUUGAUGCAAUAACCUCACUUCAGUUCACAGGCAAAAAAUUCCUCCAUUGGAAUAGUCAUUCUUUUUUCCUUUAUAACCCUUCCUAUACCUUUUUCUCAUUCUCUUAGUACUCAAAGCUUCCAACAUUCUGCCAGUUAGGCUCUUAAUUGAAACUACCAUUCAGGUAAAUGCAAUUCAACCCCUGAAAGCAACCCUUGAGCAGCUUGUCUGGCUCGGUGUUGCAUGUAUGUCCAGCUUGUACUUGCUGUGAACGGAAUGAGGAUCCUGGCCUGUCCUUUAGCAUUCUGAUAUCUGAGAUCAGAGUUUCAUAUUUCCAGUGUCUCACUUGAUUGCUUCCUUGUUGCAG
This 899-nucleotide long non-coding RNA is filed under the name Gossypium barbadense (sea-island cotton). RNAcentral describes it as "long non-coding RNA (GBAR_LNC021536)". The record is from RNAcentral. Lineage: Eukaryota; Viridiplantae; Streptophyta; Magnoliopsida; Malvales; Malvaceae.